UACGUAGGGGGCGAGCGUUGUCCGAAUUUACUGGGCGUAAAGAGCGCGUAGGCGGGUUCUUAAGUGAGAGGUGAAAGGUUCAGGGCUCAACCCGAACAGUGCCUUUCAUACUGGGAGCCUUGAGUGUGGGAGAGGCGAGUGGAAUUUCUGGUGUAGCGGUGAAAUGCGUAGAUAUCAGAAGGAACACCCAUGGCGAAGGCAGCUCGCUGGCCUACAACUGACGCUGAGGCGCGAAAGCAUGGGGAGCGAACAGG
This 254-nucleotide ribosomal RNA is filed under the name uncultured bacterium. Its description in RNAcentral is "partial 16S ribosomal RNA". It matches the Rfam family "Bacterial small subunit ribosomal RNA", at positions 524 to 776 of the family's 1533-position model. The record is from RNAcentral.